RNAcentral lists this ribosomal RNA (649 nucleotides) under uncultured Inocybe. RNAcentral describes it as "eukaryotic LSU rRNA". The stretch from base 242 to 395 matches the Rfam family "5.8S ribosomal RNA". The record is from RNAcentral. Lineage: Eukaryota; Fungi; Basidiomycota; Agaricomycetes; Agaricales; Cortinariaceae.
UAUUGAAUAAACUUGAACAGGCUGUUGCUGGUCUCUCUAGAGGGGCAUGUGCACGCUUGUCAAUCUUUAUUUUCUCCAACUGUGCACACACUGUAGACCUGGAGGGUUUUUGAUUCAUUCGAGUUGGCACUGCAGCGCUUAGAUUAUUACAAAAGUCUGCUUUGCCUUUGCCUUUUUCAGGUCUAUGUCCUUUACAAUCUCAAAAUAUGUUUAGAAUGAUAAUAAAGUUUUUAAAUAUAACAACUUUCAGCAACGGAUCUCUUGGCUCUCGCAUCGAUGAAGAACGCAGCGAAAUGCGAUAAGUAAUGUGAAUUGCAGAAUUCAGUGAAUCAUCGAAUCUUUGAACGCAUCUUGCGCUCCUUGGUAUUCUGAGGAGCAUGCCUGUUUGAGUGUCAUUUCAAGUUCUCAAACCGCAUCAAUUUCUGAUUGGUGUGGCUUGGAUGUUGGGGGUUUUUGCAGGCUUUCUUUCUUUAUAGGAGGAAAUCAGCUCCCCUGAAAUAGAUUAGUAGUAAUAUCUGAGGCUACUACAAAGGUGUGAUAAAUUAUCUAUGCCUUUUCAUAGUAUGGCCGACUGCUUCUAACGAACGAGUGGAAACACCUUUUUGACAAAUUUGACCUCAAAUCAGGUAGGACUACCCGCUGAACUUAA